CUGAAUUCAUAAAAGAACAAUAUUUUGGUUGUCCAUGCAAUCCAACAAUUGAAUGCAGUAUUUUGCUCAUACAAGAGAAGCAACCAAAGAUCAUACAUCAGCUACAGAGCUCCGCUGUCUCCAUUCCCGUCUGCACGCUGCUGCCUCUAUCCUCUUCCCCUCUUCUUGGUGCAUAUAGUGCCUGGCUGGUCGGACGCUUUUGAUUGCUGGCCUACGGUUUGAGGUAAAAAUGUUUUGGGCAGAUCGCAAAUGGAAGAAUCACAGCGCACAUAAAACUAAGGGCACUAUCAUGUUUUGAGGUACAAGAUUUCGUGAUUUUUCUUCACAUUUGAUCUUUAAUCUCUUUUAUUCAUUUUCAUAAUAUAAGAUUGAUUAUAUGAGAUAUUGCUGCAUGCUUAUAUGCUUAAAAAAGGUUCUUGAGGGGCUCUCCUGUGCAUUAUAUGAUUGUACCUCACUCUCCUUGUGUGCUCAAUGAAGAUGAAGAUACCCUUUAUUUCCUACAGUGGCUUGGGAAGGGGAGUAAUACCGUUACUUGCUGGGUAAAAGGCCAGAGAAACGUUGUUGCGUCUGCUCCGAGUGUAGAGGUCUUCCAUGGCGGUGCAGGGCCAAGGUCCUCCAUUUGGUGAUGGCAGUGGUGUUAGCAUUUGGCGGUGCACCCACAUUAGAUUUAUGUUUUCGAUGCGUUGUGGCCUCUAAAGAUCGAACUGCAACGAGAUUAUUUAGAUGUUAUAACUUUUGUACCUUCUAUUAUUGUCAAAAGGAAAUACAGAAUGUUAGUUAUUGUAGUAUAUUUAGCUAUUUUCUUGAUUGUGUAUAAACAUUUCUGUUCUUUUCCAAAUUUGUGUGUUUAGUUAUAA
Lolium perenne is the source of this 857-nucleotide non-coding RNA. Lineage: Eukaryota; Viridiplantae; Streptophyta; Magnoliopsida; Poales; Poaceae. The record is from RefSeq and is a predicted model, not a curated record.